AUAUAUUCAUGCAUCAGAGCACUCCUGCACUGUUUGUGCUCUACCGGAGAUUUUCAUGCGGACAAGGCAAAAUCUCAGCAAGUUCGGACCUCUAGUACAAUAAGGCGAACCUCCUCUUUGGAUACAAUAACAGGACCUUACCUCACGGGACAGUGGCCACGGGAUCCUCAUGUUCACUACCCUUCAUGCAUGAAAGACAAAGCUACUCAGACACCUAGCUGUUGGGCAGAAGAGGGUGCAGAAAAGAGGUCACAUCAGCGUUCUGCGUCAUGGGGGAGUGCUGAUCAACUAAAAGAGAUCGCCAAACUGAGGCAGCAACUACAACGCAGUAAACAGAGUAGUCGUCACAGUAAGGAGAAAGAUCGCCAGUCACCUCUUCAUGGCAACCAUAUAACAAUCAGUCACACUCAGGCUACUGGAUCAAGGUCAGUUCCUAUGCCACUGUCAAAUAUAUCAGUGCCAAAAUCAUCUGUUUCACGUGUGCCCUGCAAUGUAGAAGGAAUAAGUCCUGAAUUAGAAAAGGUAUUCAUUAAAGAAAAUAAUGGGAA
RNAcentral lists this small RNA (548 nucleotides) under Pan troglodytes (chimpanzee). RNAcentral describes it as "processed transcript". The record is from RNAcentral. Lineage: Eukaryota; Metazoa; Chordata; Mammalia; Primates; Hominidae.